UGACCUAAACCCUCACCAGAGUAACAAUUGGAGGGCAAGUCUGGUGCCAGCAGCCGCGGUAAUUCCAGCUCCAAUAGCGUAUAUUAAACUUGUUGCAGUUAAAAAGCUCGUAGUUGAAUUUUUGCGUCACCGUGUAUCGACAUUGGUCGUUUAUCGGUUUCGCUUUUGGGAUUUAUCCCUUUUUACUUUGAGAAAAUUAGAGUGUUUCAAGCAGACUUUUGUCUUGAAUACUUCAGCAUGGAAUAAUAGAGUAGGACUUUGGUUCUAUUUUGUUGGUUUGUGAACCUUAGUAAUGGUUAAUAGGAACGGUUGGGGGCAUUCGUAUUUAACUGUCAGAGGUGAAAUUCUUAGAUUUGUUAAAGACGAACUACUGCGAAAGCAUUUGCCAAGGACGUUUUCAUUAAUCAAGAACGAAAGUUAGGGGAUCGAAGACGAUCAGAUACCGU
This 446-nucleotide ribosomal RNA is filed under the name Babesia odocoilei. Its description in RNAcentral is "SSU rRNA". It matches the Rfam family "Eukaryotic small subunit ribosomal RNA", at positions 521 to 1018 of the family's 1831-position model. The record is from RNAcentral. Lineage: Eukaryota; Apicomplexa; Aconoidasida; Piroplasmida; Babesiidae.